CCAGCCGGCCGGGCGGCCGCUGCCGGACUUCGUUGUGGCGAAACGCGCUCUAAAGGCGCGCAAGCAAGACAUCCGGUGGAGGAAAGUCCGGGCUCCUUGAUGACACGGUGGCGGCUAACGGCCGCCGGGGGCGACCCCAGGGAAAGUGCCACAGAGAACAUACCGCCCGCCUUCGCUGCUUUGCAGCUUCGGCGCGGUAAGGGUGAAAAGGUGCGGUAAGAGCGCACCGCGCUUCUGGUAACAGAGGCGGCAGGGCAAACCCCACCGGGAGCAAGAUCGAAUAGGGAUGGGCGCGCGGAGCGGGAAACCGCAGACGCGGGGCGUGUCAUCGCGCUACUCAUCCGGGUUGAUUGCACGAGGCGUCUGGCAACAGGCGUCCCAGAUGAAUGGCCGUCGCGGAGCAUUUAGGCCAACACCCGGCAUGCCGGUGUUGGGCUUUCUCCAGACAGAACCCGGCUUACAGGCCGGCUGGUAAU
This is a non-coding RNA of Hyphomicrobium denitrificans ATCC 51888, 476 nucleotides long. It matches the Rfam family "Bacterial RNase P class A". Rfam says of the family: Ribonuclease P (RNase P) is a ubiquitous endoribonuclease, found in archaea, bacteria and eukarya as well as chloroplasts and mitochondria. The record is from Rfam. Lineage: Bacteria; Pseudomonadati; Pseudomonadota; Alphaproteobacteria; Hyphomicrobiales; Hyphomicrobiaceae.